AACGAACGCUGGCGGCAUGCCUAACACAUGCAAGUCGAACGAGACCUUCGGGUCUAGUGGCGCACGGGUGCGUAACGCGUGGGAACCUGCCCUUAGGUUCGGAAUAACUCCCCGAAAGGGGUGCUAAUACCGGAUAAUGUCUUCGGACCAAAGAUUUAUCGCCUUUGGAUGGGCCCGCGUUGGAUUAGCUAGUUGGUAUGGUAAAAGCCUACCAAGGCGACGAUCCAUAGCUGGUCUGAGAGGAUGAGCAGCCACACUGGGACUGAGACACGGCCCAGACUCCUACGGGAGGCAGCAGUGGGGAAUAUUGGACAAUGGGCGAAAGCCUGAUCCAGCAAUGCCGCGUGAGUGAUGAAGGCCUUAGGGUUGUAAAGCUCUUUUACCCGGGAUGAUAAUGACAGUACCGGGAGAAUAAGCUCCGGCUAACUCCGUG
This 433-nucleotide ribosomal RNA is filed under the name uncultured bacterium. RNAcentral's name for it is "partial 16S ribosomal RNA". It matches the Rfam family "Bacterial small subunit ribosomal RNA", at positions 29 to 507 of the family's 1533-position model. The record is from RNAcentral.